RNAcentral lists this ribosomal RNA (253 nucleotides) under uncultured bacterium. Its description in RNAcentral is "partial 16S ribosomal RNA". It matches the Rfam family "Bacterial small subunit ribosomal RNA", at positions 524 to 776 of the family's 1533-position model. The record is from RNAcentral.
UACGUAGGGUGCAAGCGUUAAUCGGAAUUACUGGGCGUAGAGCGUGCGCAGGCGGUUUUGUAAGACUGUCGUGAAAUCCCCGGGCUCAACCUGGGAAUGGCGAUGGUGACUGCAAGGCUAGAGUUUGGCAGAGGGGGGUAGAAUUCCACGUGUAGCAGUGAAAUGCGUAGAUAUGUGGAGGAAUACCGAUGGCGAAGGCAGCCCCCUGGGAUAACACUGACGCUCAUGCACGAAAGCGUGGGGAGCAAACAGG